This 23-nucleotide non-coding RNA is filed under the name Cricetulus griseus (Chinese hamster). Lineage: Eukaryota; Metazoa; Chordata; Mammalia; Rodentia; Cricetidae. The record is from RNAcentral.
AUGCUUGUGCUAGGAGUGGUGAU